Molecule: ribosomal RNA, 327 nt
Filed under: uncultured eukaryote
Lineage: Eukaryota
Description: partial 18S ribosomal RNA
Rfam family: Eukaryotic small subunit ribosomal RNA
Source: RNAcentral
CCCUUAGAUGUUCUGGGCCGCACGCGCGCUACACUGAUACAGACAGCAAGUUAUAUUUCCCCUUGGCUGAGAGGCCUGGGUAAUCUUGUGAAAUUGUAUCGUGAUGGGGAUAGGUCACUGUAAUCGUUGACCUUUAACGAGGAAUUCCUAGUACGCGCAAGUCAUCAGCUUGCAUGGAUUACGUCCCUGCCCUUUGUACACACCGCCCGUCGCUCCUACCGAUUGAAUGUUCCGGUGAGCUCUUCGGACUGCGCGGUCUGCAGUUUCUGCGUUCCGUGCGGAAAGUUGCGCAAACCUUAACAUUUAGAGGAAGGAGAAGUCGUAACA